Molecule: ribosomal RNA, 440 nt
Filed under: uncultured bacterium
Lineage: Bacteria
Description: partial 16S ribosomal RNA
Rfam family: Bacterial small subunit ribosomal RNA
Source: RNAcentral
CCUACGGGAGACAGCAGUGGGGACUAUUGCACAAUGGGCGAACCCCUGAUGCAGCGACGCCGCGUGAGUGAAGAAGUAAUUCGUUAUGUAAAGCUCUAUCAGCAGGGAAGAAAAUGACGUUACCUGAUUAAGAAUCCCCUGCUAACUCCGUCCCAGCAGCCGCGGUAAUACGUAGGGUGCAAGCGUUAUCCGGAUUGACUGGUGGUAAAGGGAGCGUAGACGGCAGGGCAAGUCUGGAGUGAAAGGCGUGGGCUCAACCGCCGGACUGCUCUGGAAACUGUACGGCUGGAGUGCAGGAGAGGUAAGUGGAAUUCCUAGUGUAGGGGUGAAAUGCGGAGAUAUUAGGAGGAACAGCAGUGGCGAAGGCGGCUAACUGGACUGUAACUGACGUUGAGGCUCGAAAGCGUGGGGAGCAAACAGGAUUAGAUACCCUUGUAGUC